Molecule: non-coding RNA, 181 nt
Filed under: Candidatus Amesbacteria bacterium GW2011_GWC1_47_15
Lineage: Bacteria; Candidatus Amesiibacteriota
Source: RNAcentral
ACCCAGAAGGUUUGUUUAAAAUUUUAAAGAUUCGAGAGCAAAUAAACCUGGGUAAAGGGAGGACUAGAAAAUAUUCAAUUUUUGAUGUUUUUCCUAAGCAAUCUUUAGAAUCCUCAGAGACUAUACGUCGACCCCCGCCAAGGCGGGGAUGAUAUAGUCCGAUCUCAUAGGCGACUAUGAG